RNAcentral lists this ribosomal RNA (399 nucleotides) under uncultured cyanobacterium. RNAcentral describes it as "bacterial SSU rRNA". It matches the Rfam family "Bacterial small subunit ribosomal RNA", at positions 356 to 770 of the family's 1533-position model. The record is from RNAcentral. Lineage: Bacteria; Bacillati; Cyanobacteriota.
GGGGAAUUUUCCGCAAUGGGCGAAAGCCUGACGGAGCAAUGCCGCGUGGAGGAGGAAGGCCCGAGGGUUGUAAACUCCUUUUCUCAGAAAAGAAGAUCUGACGGUAUCUGAGGAAUAAGCAUCGGCUAACUCCGUGCCAGCAGCCGCGGUAAGACGGAGGAUGCAAGCGUUAUCCGGAAUGAUUGGGCGUAAAGCGUCUGUAGGUGGUUUAUUAAGUCUGCUGUUAAAGCACAGGGCUCAACCCUNUAUAGGCGGUAGAAACUGGUAGGCUUGAGUAUGGUAGGGGUAGAGGGAAUUCCCGAUGUAGUGGUGAAAUGCGUUGAUAUCGGGAAGAACACCAAAGGCGAAAGCACUCUGCUGGGCCAAUACUGACACUAAGAGACGAAAGCUAGGGGAGCA